Molecule: small RNA, 795 nt
Filed under: Pongo abelii (Sumatran orangutan)
Lineage: Eukaryota; Metazoa; Chordata; Mammalia; Primates; Hominidae
Description: retained intron
Source: RNAcentral
AAAUAGUUUUAGAAGAUACUUUUAAAUUUCUUUGUGUGAAGGUCUUGGGUUGAACAAAAACUACACACUAGUAAUCAUCUCUUUUAUAGUGACCAUAUAUUUCAGGCCCUGCUAUUAAAACAUUUUCCCUUCUAGGUCCUACAACGUGACUUUAAAAAGACAGCAGAAAGCAAAAAUGUCCCAUUGGAACAAGAAGCCACUAGUAAAAAUGACCAAGAUAACUCUCCUGUGAAACCCUGUUACCUCAAUAUCUUGGAAGAUGAGCAACCUUUAAAUAGUGCUGCCCAUAAGGACUCACCUGCUACUGUUGAUUCAACUCAACAGCCUAACCCUUUGCCGUUACGUUUACCUGAAAUGGAACCGUUAGUGCCUAGAGUCAAAGAAGUUAAAUCUGCUCAGGAAACUCCUGAAAGCUCUCUGGCUGGAAGUCCUGAUACUGAAUCUCCAGUGUUAGUGAAUGACUAUGAAGCAGAAUCUGGUAAUAUAAGUCAAAAGUCUGAUGAAGAAGAUUUUGUAAAAGUUGAAGAUUUACCACUGAAACUGACAAUAUAUUCAGAGGCAGAUCUAAGGAAGAAAAUGGUAGAAGAAGAACAGAAAAACCAUUUAUCUGGUGAAAUAUGUGAAAUGCAGACUGAAGAAUUAGCUGGAAAUUCUGAGAUACUAAAAGAACCUGAAACGGUGGGAGCCCAGAGUGUAUGAGAUGUCUUCAGAGGCUCAUCUAACUCUGUCCUUACAUACUCAAUGCAUAUAUGAAAACAAUACUAAAUAAACAUCUGAUCUGUAUAAAAAUGUAAA